RNAcentral lists this long non-coding RNA (207 nucleotides) under Solanum tuberosum (potato). RNAcentral's name for it is "long non-coding RNA (STUB_LNC009172)". Lineage: Eukaryota; Viridiplantae; Streptophyta; Magnoliopsida; Solanales; Solanaceae. The record is from RNAcentral.
ACACAAUCUCAUUUCAUUUCUCUUUCAUCUUCCUUACACUUUUUUUUUUAACCUCUUCUACUCUUUUCAUUGAAGAAAAAACAACAGCAGCAAUCAAAGCAAUCCGUUUUUGUUUUCAUCCAAAUCGAAGAAGAGAGGUUCACUGCUUGAGUGUACAAUGCGUCAACGUCGUCCUAGACCAGUAUUUGUGUGUGGCUAUAUAUACCC